This is a small nucleolar RNA of Rattus norvegicus (Norway rat), 131 nucleotides long. Ensembl annotates it as small nucleolar RNA SNORA17. NCBI's taxonomy places the organism in Eukaryota, Metazoa, Chordata, Mammalia, Rodentia, Muridae. The record is from Ensembl.
GUGGCUCCUACAAGUGAUGCAGGUGUGGCGGCUGUGUCAUACGUGUGCCAGUAGGUGGCAGAGAGGAGACAGGCUAUGUCUACACUCAGCAUUCUGAUCUAUGGACAUCUGAAAGUAAGCAAGCAAGCAAG